AGCAGCCGCGGUAAUUCCAGCUCCAAUAGCGUAUAUUAAAGUUGUUGCAGUUAAAAAGCUCGUAGUUGAAUUUCGGGAUCAAAUUGUUGGUCGUGCCUCGGUACGCACUGGUAUUAUUGGUUCCUACCUUCUGAAGAACCGCGAUGUCAUUAAUUUGGUGUCGUGGGGAAUCAGGACUGUUACUUUGAAAAAAUUAGAGUGUUUAAAGCAGGCUUACGCUUGAAUACAUUAGCAUGGAAUAAUGAAAUAGGACGUUUGAUUCUAUUUUGUUGGUUUCUAGGAUUGACGUAAUGAUUAAUAGGGAUAGUUGGGGGCAUUAGUAUUCAAUUGUCAGAGGUGAAAUUCUUGGAUUUAUUGAAGACUAACUACUGCGAAAGCAUUUGCCAAGGAUGUUUUCAUUAAUCAAGAACGAAAGUUAGGGGAUCGAAGACGAUCAGAUACCGUCGUAGUCUUAACCAUAAACUAUGCCGACUAGGGAUCGGAUGAUGUUAAUUUUUAAUGUACUCAUUCGGCGC
This 515-nucleotide ribosomal RNA is filed under the name uncultured Glomus. RNAcentral's name for it is "SSU rRNA". It matches the Rfam family "Eukaryotic small subunit ribosomal RNA", at positions 569 to 1086 of the family's 1831-position model. The record is from RNAcentral. Lineage: Eukaryota; Fungi; Glomeromycota; Glomeromycetes; Glomerales; Glomeraceae.